GGCAGCCGGGGCCGCGGAGCCCUUCCCCCGUCUCCUCCCCGCCCGGCCCGGGGGGGACGGGGGCAGCGGCGGCCGGGCGGGGAAAGCAGGAGGGGCAGCGCCCGGCAACAUGGAGGGAGGCGCGGAGCGGGCCGGCCCCUGAUGCGGCUCUUCCUCCUCCUCCUCCUCCUCCUCCUCCUUCUCCUCCUCCUCCUCCUCCUGCUCGGGGCAGCGGCUCCGGCGGCGCUUCGCUUCCCUCCCGGCGGCGAUGAGCAGGUCGGCGGCGCUUCUCCUCUGCCUGCUGGGCUGCAACGUCUGGAAGGCGGUGACCAAAACCUUAGGGGCGCCCGAGGCGGCUCAAGAAAGAUAGCUGCAGAAGUCAACUUAGCAGACAUCCUUAGAGAAAGGAUCAAAGCUGUGUCAUGUCACACGUUAACCUUCAGCACAGACAAAUCUUUGGGCUUUCAGAGGAUGGGGAAGAUACUCAACUUGUGCAGAAGAUGAGUUGAGGAGUACAGAGAAAGCACAGUGAUGGAGAUGGCACACUGUCCAGGUGAGGGCUGGGAAGUAAACCCAGGCCAUACAAGAACCGAGGGUCUUAACUUCUGCUGCUUUUACUUCAGUGUUCAGGGACUGUUUAAGGAAUUUACUGGUAUUCAGCCAGCAGUUACUGCAGGACCCUCACAAAAUUAUUUUCAGGUUUCAUCACCUUUUUCUUGCCAUUCCAUGCUUUUCUUUGUCACGCUUGUGUGAGCAUAAGGAGAAAUGCCAGGAGCUGCCUGGCCGUGGGCAAUGAAGCUUCCCCAGCCUGGGCUGGUGUUCAGCACGUGUGGAAGGCAGACAGCAGCCGCCUCGGUGACCAGUUGCUGCUAUCCUGAUGUUCGAAUUUGAGGUUGGUUUUUGUAAGUAGACACAGAAUCACUUGUCCCCAAAAUGGAUGAUGAUCUUGGUUUCUGAAUCUGUCUAAUUAAAGUAAGAAAAAAAUACCAUAAUGAUGAUAAGGUGGGCAUGUAAAACUUCAGUGUAGGAAGCGAAAUUUGAAUGGAUUCCAGCUACAAGUACUAAAAACCUUCUUCCUUUUCCUCUUAGUCUUUCCCUUACCCACUCCCUAUUGAAUUGAGCUAAAUUUUAAACCUAAUUUCAAUCUACCAGAAGACAACCUACAUUUCCAAAAGCGGUCAUGUAAACAGAUCUGUAUUUCAAAUGUAACUUGCAAGUUUGAUGUUAGUAACAUCAGUCUCAUUUCAUCUUCCUAAGCACCAGGGGAACAAAACACCUUAAAUCCAAGGUGCUGUUGGAAAGUCAGUGAUUGUUUGUAGUUAACAGUAAAGAAAAUAUUGUAAGAAGCAAUUAUUUUAUCUCAGAGUGAGGCAAUGCAAACAAACCUUGAUUUCAGAGAAAUAUGCUGGUAACUAACUGAUCUUGUAAGUAAUGCUGUCUGUGGUCCUAGUAUAAUAUUUGGUUUAGAUUUCUUUGGUUUAAACCCAGACUGAUGGCUUCAGAUACGAUUUUAUGAGGUAGCCAUAUAUUGUGUUAACAGGGCCUUUUUGCCCAAGGGGCAAAUAAACUGCUGUAUGCUUUAUAGCACGUUAAACAGAAUAGGGGAGAAGAAAAGAACCUAAUGAUAAGCCCAUUGAUCCUUUUCUUUAUCAUGAAUUAUUCAGGCACUGGUGUGAUUGAUUGUUGUUAGGUUUUACUGGUUUUUAAGCAUUGUAGAGAUGUGGUGUAGUAUGUAAACAUAAUUAGGUGUUAUCUUCAUGCUUCAAGUUAUCUUGGUUUGUGUUGGUUACCUGAUUUCUGAGACAAAAACAGUGAAUCAUGAUGGACAGUUUUCCUUCAUGGCCCUGAAAAAGUAUGGAUUUUGUGUUUGCCCAAAUCCUCACGUGUUCUCACUUCUAGAAGAGUGGGAUGGACACAGCUGUGGACUGGAGCCCUCGGCGUUUGUGCACACAUGUGCCGAUGCGCGCACAUGCUAGCCGUGUAAGGCCAUAUGGUAUGAAUCAAGCCUUACCUCACGGUAGUAAAAAUGUAAUGCAUUUUCCACCAUUUUCAGCUAUGUGUUCGUGGUAGGGUAUCCUGUGCUUUGAACGACUUAAGUGAUUGUCUUCUGUCCAUGGUCAUUGUUCUGUGGAAUUAAUGUGUUAUCCAGGAUACUUGGCUUAAAUUUUGUCCUUGGAUCGCUGUGGC
This 2166-nucleotide long non-coding RNA is filed under the name Anas platyrhynchos (mallard). RNAcentral's name for it is "lncRNA (ENSAPLG00020015835.1)". Lineage: Eukaryota; Metazoa; Chordata; Aves; Anseriformes; Anatidae. The record is from RNAcentral.